GAUGAACGCUGGCGGCGUGCUUAACACAUGCAAGUCGAACGGAAAGGCCCAAGCUUGCUUGGGUACUCGAGUGGCGAACGGGUGAGUAACACGUGGGUGAUCUGCCCUGCACUUCGGGAUAAGCCUGGGAAACUGGGUCUAAUACCGGAUAGGACGAUGGUUUGGAUGCCAUUGUGGAAAGUUUUUUCGGUGUGGGAUGAGCUCGCGGCCUAUCAGCUUGUUGGUGGGGUAAUGGCCUACCAAGGCGUCGACGGGUAGCCGGCCUGAGAGGGUGUACGGCCACAUUGGGACUGAGAGACGGGCCAGACUACUACGGGAGGCAGCAGUGGGGAAUAUUGGACAAUGGGCGGAAGCCUGAUGCAGCGACGCCGCGUGGGGGAUGACGGCUUUCGGGUUGUAAGCUCCUUUCGCUAGGGACGAAGCGUUUUUGUGACGGUACCUGGAGAAGAAGCACCGGCUAACUACGUG
RNAcentral lists this ribosomal RNA (468 nucleotides) under uncultured bacterium. RNAcentral describes it as "partial 16S ribosomal RNA". It matches the Rfam family "Bacterial small subunit ribosomal RNA", at positions 28 to 507 of the family's 1533-position model. The record is from RNAcentral.